RNAcentral lists this unclassified non-coding RNA (1536 nucleotides) under Hevea brasiliensis (rubber tree). Lineage: Eukaryota; Viridiplantae; Streptophyta; Magnoliopsida; Malpighiales; Euphorbiaceae. The record is from RNAcentral.
AAUCUUGGUAUCUGAGCUCCCACCCAGUCCGACAGCAGCCUUUGCAAGAUCUCUCCAUUUAGAGGCUUUAUUCUUCAUUUCUUCACUCCUCUCUCCAACCAUAACCUCCCUGAUACAUUUCUCAAGUUCCUGUCUCCUUACAAUCCCUUCUUCAUCUUUCUUAGCUCUUACUCCCACCUUCCACAAUUCCUCUAUAAACUUGGCAUUGGUUGGCUGGUCGCUCCACUGUGUCACCCCUACCAUUGGCACUCCUAGGCUCAGCCCCUCCAAUGUAGAAUUCCAUCCACAGUGUGUAACAAAGCAGCCCACAGCUUGGUGAGCUAGGACCUCUAGUUGGUUGCACCAUGCCACGACUAUCCCUGUCUCGCCUACUGAGCUUAUAAAAUCAACUGGUAGCUUGUUUUCUGAAUCCUUGAUAACCCAUAGGAAAGGCCAGUUGCUUACUUCUAAACCCCAUGCAAUUUCUUCAACCUGUUUAGCUGAAAUGUCUGCCAUGCUUCCAAAUGACACAUAUAUUACCGAGUCUGGUGGCUUUGUGUCAAGCCAUCUCAGGCACUGGUCAGUUGUUUGUUCCCAGAGACUGGCCCCAUAAGCUGUAUCUCCAUCAAUUUGUUGGUCUAGGUAGGCAGAUGGCAGGGUUGGACCAACCAUCACCACUGGCCACAGUCCCCUCAUGGCUCUUACUAGCUUUUCAUUUUUCAUCAGUCAAAGCAGUGAACAAGUUAGCAAUGUAAUUAUCCAUUAAAAUUACAUAUUAUCCUCUGAAAAUAUAAUUAUUAACUUCAACUAAUGACCAUUGAAUAUAAUUAUCAUCAAUCCUAAAAUAAUCCAAAUUAAAAAAAUAAUAAUAAAAGAAUUGCAUUCAAUAAAAAUUAUCCCAAACUUCAGUUACCUCAAUCUCUAGCUCUUCGAAGGAGUUGCAGAACACCCAAUCAUUUUUAUCUAAACUGUGAAAUUUCUGCAAGAUUGUUUCUAAAUAAGCAGAGUGAGUUGUUGGGGAUGCCAGAAAACUUGGCAAUUCAUAGAAGUCUAGUGAAGGAAGGCCAGGCAAAGACACAGGCACAGUUUCUUGCUUCACAGGAAGAGUGAGGAGACCCUGAUCAAUUUGCCAAUACAUGGAGCAGACAGAAGCUGAAUUGGUCAAAAAUACAGCAGCAUAUAUCCCAAGUUGUUUUGCUACAUCAACAGCCCAAGUCAGCAAUGAAUCAUACACAAUACAUGUAACAGGGAAGCCUGAGGCAUUGAACUUCAAGAUGAGCUCAGUAAGAGUUCUUGAACCAACUGUCUUGAAUGAUUCUAGGUAGGCCUCUACACCUGAGGAUUGCUUGAAGCCGCCUUCAUCAAAGCCAUCAGAUAUGGGUUCAACGCCUACGUUGGGGGCAUGGAUCGAGUUUACUGUGUAAGGGGUGGUGGCGAAAGUGGCCUUGACUCCUUUGGAGGCCAAGCGCUUAGCAAACUGAAGGAGGGGGUUAAUGUGGCCUUGAGCAGGAUAAGGGAUAACAAUGACAUGGCAUCUUGGAUCGGCCAUCAGCUUUG